RNAcentral lists this ribosomal RNA (420 nucleotides) under uncultured bacterium. RNAcentral describes it as "partial 16S ribosomal RNA". It matches the Rfam family "Bacterial small subunit ribosomal RNA", at positions 360 to 772 of the family's 1533-position model. The record is from RNAcentral.
AAUAUUGGACAAUGGGUGCAACCCUGUUCCAGCCAUGCCUCGUGUGUGAAGAUGGUCUUCUGUUUAUAAAUCACUUUAAUUUGGGAGGAAGGGCUUUAGCCUAAUACGCUGACGUUUUGACGUUACCAACAGAAUAAGCACUGACUAACUCUCUUCCAGCAGCCGCGGUAAUACAUAGGGUGCAAGCGUUAAUCGGAAUUACUGGGAGUAAAGCGCGCGUAGGUUGUUCAGUAAGAUGGGUGUGAAAUCCCCGGGCUUAACCUGGGAGCUGCUUUCAUAACUGCUGAGCUAGAGUACGGUAGGGGGUAGUGGAAUUUCCUGUGUAGCGGUGAAAUGCGUAGAUAUAGGAAGGAACACCAGUGGCGAAGGCGACUACCUGGACUGAUACUGACACUGAGGUGCGAAAGCGUGGGGAGCAAA